GGGUGACAGUGCAAGUGGUUGUUAGAGAACAACUUGCACUGAGUGUGACCAACAUGAGAAACUACUUAGAUGUCUACUCACUCGUUAGUGAUUUUCUCGAUGCUGCAGUAGUGUGACUGAUCCUUUGACCUGUGGUGUGUUGGCUAUUCACAACGAGGCUAUAUAGUUUGACUAUACAUUCUCUUGGUCCCUAGCCAUAUGGGUCCUUGUUGUAUAUGUUGGCUAUGUAGGUUUAGAUUUACUGUUUGGAGUAGAGUACACCUA
This 264-nucleotide long non-coding RNA is filed under the name Elaeis guineensis (African oil palm). RNAcentral's name for it is "long non-coding RNA (EGUI_LNC076407)". Lineage: Eukaryota; Viridiplantae; Streptophyta; Magnoliopsida; Arecales; Arecaceae. The record is from RNAcentral.